GCAGACACAUUCCAGCCAAUCAGCAGCAGACCCUCCCUCCCAGACCCUCCCACCUCCUGGACAGCAUCCAUUUUACAUUCAUUGUGAAGCUGCAUUCUUAGUGAGCUGUCCAGGAGGUGGGAGGGUCUGGGAGGGAGGGUCUGCUGCUGAUUGUCUGGAAUGUGUCUG
Non-coding RNA from Pelobates cultripes (western spadefoot toad), 168 nucleotides. Lineage: Eukaryota; Metazoa; Chordata; Amphibia; Anura; Pelobatidae. The record is from the annotation of a GenBank genome assembly.